Molecule: long non-coding RNA, 144 nt
Organism: Thalassophryne amazonica
Lineage: Eukaryota; Metazoa; Chordata; Actinopteri; Batrachoidiformes; Batrachoididae
Exons: 4
Source: RefSeq, a predicted model, not a curated record
AGCAUUCAUCAACUUUCCCACCAAGCAAUGGGUAUUAUGGUCCUUGCCCAAGGACCCUUAGUGAUUUUCCAGUCAUGCUGGGAUUUGAUCCGAGGAACCUCUGGUCCAAAGCCCAAUGUUUAACUACUAGACCAUCACCUCCCC